AACAAGACCUCGAAGCUUUUAGAAGCAGCAGUUGUUUGCGGGGCGAUACUUGGAGGAGCAGAUGAUGAAAACAUAGAAAGGGUUAGAAAAUAUGCAAGGUGUAUAGGGUUGUUAUUCCAAGUUGUAGAUGAUAUAUUGGAUGUGACAAAGUCAUCGGAGGAGCUGGGAAAAACGGCCGGCAAGGAUCUGAUAAGCGAUAAAGCAACAUAUCCAAAGCUGAUGGGAAUUGAUGAGGCUAAGAAAUUUGCUGCUAAGUUGGUGGAUCAAGCCAAUCAAGAACUUGUUUCCUUUGAUGCUGCCAAG
Molecule: unclassified non-coding RNA, 303 nt
Filed under: Hevea brasiliensis (rubber tree)
Lineage: Eukaryota; Viridiplantae; Streptophyta; Magnoliopsida; Malpighiales; Euphorbiaceae
Source: RNAcentral